GUACACACCGCCCGUCACACCAUGGGAGUGGGUUGCAAAAGAAGUGGGUAAUCUAACCUUCGGGAGGGCGCUCACCACUUUGUGAUUCAUGACUGGGGUGAAGUCGUAACAAGGUAGCCGUAGGUGAACCUGCAGAAGGAUCA
RNAcentral lists this ribosomal RNA (143 nucleotides) under uncultured eukaryote. Its description in RNAcentral is "partial small subunit ribosomal RNA". It matches the Rfam family "Bacterial small subunit ribosomal RNA", at positions 1383 to 1525 of the family's 1533-position model. The record is from RNAcentral.